AUUGAACGCUGGCGGCAGGCCUAACACAUGCAAGUCGAACGAGUGGCGGACGGGUGAGUAAUGUCUGGGAAACUGCCUGAUGGAGGGGGAUAACUACUGGAAACGGUAGCUAAUACCGCAUACCAUCAGCUGUGCCCAGAUGGGAUUGGCUAGUUGGUGGGGUAACGGGUCACCAAGGCGACGAUCCCUAGCUGGUCUGAGAGGAUGACCAGCCACACUGGAAGUGAGACACGGUCCAAGCGCCGACGGACGGCAGCAUUGGGGAAUAUUGCACAAUGGGCGGAAGCCUGAUGCAGCCAUGCCGCGUGUAUGAUGAAGGCCUUCGGGUUGUAAAGUACUGUCAGAGGGGAGGCGUUACCCGCAGAAGAAGCAACGGCUAACUCCGUGCCAGCAGCCGCGGUAAUAC
RNAcentral lists this ribosomal RNA (406 nucleotides) under uncultured bacterium. RNAcentral's name for it is "partial 16S ribosomal RNA". It matches the Rfam family "Bacterial small subunit ribosomal RNA", at positions 30 to 526 of the family's 1533-position model. The record is from RNAcentral.